AUGCCCAAGGAAGACGGGGCAACCUAGAAGUCCAACUACUUCCUUAAGAUCAUCCAACUUUUGGAUAAUUAUCGAAAAUGCUUCAUUGUGGGAGCAGACAAUGUGGGCUCCAAGCAUAUACAGCAGAUCCACAUGUCCCUUCAAGGGUGCUGUGGUACUGAUGGGCAAGCACCCCAUGAUGUGGAAGGCCAUCGAGGGCAUCUGGAAAACAACCCAGCUCUAGAGAAACUGUUGUCUCAUAUCCGGGGGAAUGUGGGCUUUGUGUUCACCAAGGAGGACCUCAUUGAGAUCAGGGACAUGCUGCUGGCUGCCGCUCAUCCUGGGGCCAUUGCCCCGUGUGAAGUCACUGUACCAGCCCAGAACACUGGUCUGGGGCCAGAGAAGACCUCCUUCCAGGCUUUAGGCAUCACCACUAACAUCUCCAGAGGUACCAUUGAUAUCGUGAGUGAUGUCAGCUGGUUAAGACUGGAGACAAAGUGGAAGCUAGUGAAGCCACACUGCUGAACAUCCUGAACAUCUCCCCCUUCUCCUUUGGGCUGGUCAUCAGCAGGUGUUUGACAAUGGCAGCAUGUACCACCCUGAAGUGCUUGACAUUACAGAGGAAACUCUGCAUUCUCACUUCCUGGGGGGUGUCCGCAAGGUUGCCAGCGUUUGCAGAUUGGUUACCCAAUUGUUGCAUCAGUACUGCAUUCUAUUAUCAGUGGGUACAAAUGAGUUCUGGCUUUGUCUGUGGAGACUGAUUACACCUUCCCGCUUGCUGAAAUGAUCAGGGCCUUGGGUGAUCCAUCUGCUUUUGUGGCUGCUGCCCCUGUGGUGGCUGCCGCUCCUGCUGCAGCCCUGCCCAAGGUUGAAGCCCAGGAAGACUUGGAGGAGUCGGACGAGGAUAUGGGAUUUGGUCUCUUUGAGUAAUCACCAAAAAGAACAAACUCAGCCAGCU
RNA transcript from Propithecus coquereli (Coquerel's sifaka), 937 nucleotides. It is a transcript of the gene named 60S acidic ribosomal protein P0 pseudogene, with no coding region annotated. NCBI's taxonomy places the organism in Eukaryota, Metazoa, Chordata, Mammalia, Primates, Indriidae. The record is from RefSeq and is a predicted model, not a curated record. The transcript has a single exon.